AACGAACGCUGGCGGCGCGCUUAACACAUGCAAGUCGAACGAGAAGGCGUAGCAAUACGCUUGUACAGUGGCGAACGGGUGAGUAAUACGUGGGUGACCUACCCUCGAGUGGGGAAUAACCCGCCGAAAGGCGGGCUAAUGCCGCGUACGCUUCCAUCUUUAUGGAGGUGGAAGGAAAGCCGUGCCGUGGGCACGGCGCUCAAGGAUGGGCUCACGUCCUAUCAGCUUGUUGGAGGGUAACGGCCUACCAAGGCUCCGACGGGUAGCUGGUCUGAGAGGACGAUCAGCCACACUGGCACUGCGACACGGGCCAGACUCCUACGGGAGGCAGCAGUGAGGAAUAUUGCGCAAUGGGCGAAAGCCUGACGCAGCGACGCCGCGUGGGGGA
RNAcentral lists this ribosomal RNA (388 nucleotides) under uncultured bacterium. RNAcentral's name for it is "bacterial SSU rRNA". It matches the Rfam family "Bacterial small subunit ribosomal RNA", at positions 29 to 408 of the family's 1533-position model. The record is from RNAcentral.